This 3525-nucleotide unclassified non-coding RNA is filed under the name Stegodyphus dumicola. RNAcentral's name for it is "uncharacterized LOC118194378, transcript variant X1". Lineage: Eukaryota; Metazoa; Arthropoda; Arachnida; Araneae; Eresidae. The record is from RNAcentral.
GAAGCAAAACUAUUUUUUGCAUAAAGUUUAUCAAAGAAAUUUACAUGUCAUAUCCAGAGGGCUGAUUUUGCCAAGAACGGGAUUUUCAGUUCACAAUUGACGUCAGGUUGUAGGUUGAGAAUAAGUGAAGCCUAUGGCCAAGCUCGUGAAAAAACGGCUACGAAGCUUACAAGAUGGCGACAGAUGAGAGAACUGCGAUGGUCGAGGAGCUGAAAUUUAGUCCGUAUACUUCAUUUUUUGGAACUGAAGAUUUAAUUUCCUCUCCUAUAGUUAAAGAAGAAUGUGAUAACUCUGAGAUUAUGAAGCUUCCAACAAAAGAUAUGGGUUUAUUUGGCUACUGUCCUGUGUAUGACGAUGUCUGCCUAGUCAUCUGUAAUAACUGCCGUAGAAGCAUAAAACCUCAAGCUAUAGAGUCGCAUAGAAAAAAAUGUAUUACAAACUCUUCUGAUUCACAUAAAACAAGUGCAUCAUUAACUCAAAUCAAUCAAAUCAACAGCAGGAUAUCUGAAGGGGCCAAACUUUCAAAUACAGGAAGGAAUGAUAAGAAGGACACUUAUUCAUCAUCAUCUAAUAAUGGCGUUCCUUUUAAUCAUUCUAUUGACCAAAUACUCUCAGCAAAAGUUGUAGUUCGGAAAUUAAGCCCUACAGGAGAAAGUAUUAAAAAUAGCUCUCAGAAAUUGAGUCCUAUAGAAGAAAGUAUUAGAAGCAAUUCAUCUGUUCUGCCUCAUUAUCAGUACUUGCCUUCCACAUCAGGUCCAGGACCUGGGGAUCAUUCCAUUUCUAGAACUUUUCGAUUUUCCAAUUCUGGUAUUAUAUCAGAUUCGUAUGUGAAUAUAAAAAACUUUAGUUCAGAGACUCUAUCAAAUAUUUCACCAGUAGUAGUUUUGAAUAACACGAUUCCUAUUAAUUCUGCAUUAACAACAAUAAAAACAGAAAAUUUGGUAAAACAAUUUAAAGCCAAAGAAUUCAAUCCAGAUCAGCACUGUGGAGUUCCUUUGGCAGAUGGAAAUCCGUGUGUGAAAGCUCUUACUUGCAAACAACACCGUAGUGCAUUGCGAAGAGCUGUUCCCGGUAGAUCAAAAGAAUUAGAUGUUCUCAUCAAAGAACAAAAAGCUCGGAGAAAGGUGGCUUCAACUAAAUUGAUGCAAAAUAAUUCUUGUGCAAACUCUGUAAAUUUUCAAAAUGAAAAAAGGACAUCAAUGGAAUUUCAGUCUCUAAAUUGCAUACCUAAUAAUUGCAUUAAAAUCUGUCUUGAACCAAGUGAACUUCAAAAUUAUGAAAGGACAAACUGUGUUCCUUUUUCUAGAAAUGGGAAUGAAAGUUGUUUGCUGUUGCCUACUGAAGACAGUUGUAAUCAGAGUGCUCUAGACAGUGUUCAGCCUUUAGAUUAUGGACCUUGUGUAGAGCCUACAAUAGACUAUGGACCUUGUGUAGAGCCCACAAUAGACUAUGGACCUUGUGUAGAGCCCACAAUAGACUAUGGACCUCCUGCAGAGCCAGCAAUAGACUAUGGACCUCCUGCAGAGCCAGCAAUCGGUUAUGAAUGUCAAGCAGAACCAGCAAUAGGUUAUGGAUGUCCAGUAGAGCCAGCAAUAGAAUAUGAAACUCCUACAGAGCCUAAAAUAGAUUAUGGACCUCUUGCAGAGUCAAUAAUACAUUAUGAAUCUUCUGUUGAGCCAACAAUAUGUCAAACUGAAAGCACAAAUCAAUUGCCAAAUUCCAUUCCUCAAGAAGAACUGAGAAAUUCUUUAGACUGUGGAGAUUUUAAAACGGGUUGUUUAGCUUCUUCAUGUGCUAGCCAAAUUGAGACAUGUGAUACAUUCUGUGAAUUAAACAACUGUACAGAAAAUAGUAUUAAAAUACCUGAAAUAGAAAACUUACCAGAAAUAGAACCUACAGUUUCUUCACAAGCUGAUGUUAAAUCUCCAAGCCCUGCCCCUUCCUGGAACCGAACAUCGUCACCUUCAGCAGGAGGUGAGUCUGUCACUGACUCGUGCAUGCUCAAGGAUCGUCCCGAAACGAAAGCAGCUUUAAUUCGGAAACCAUCACAAAUGCCUCAUAUUAUAUAUCAUCCGAGACCUAGCGCUAUUUGCACAUAUGGCAUGAGAGAAACUAAACAUGGAUUAGUUUUGACCAGUUACCGCUCUGAUUCUGUGAGAGAAGCCUUGCAAAAAGCUAUUGAAGAAGAAAAACUCUAUCUGCAAAGACGGAAAGAAAAUUCUGACCUCAGCAUGAAGUCUAAACCUGCCUGUGAACUUGCCAUGUCUUCAGAGCUUACGCAUUCAUUAACAAACAGGAAGGCUGUGCCCAAAAGUGAGCUUUUAUCAUGCAAUGUUCCUGAAAAAAACAUUGUAUCGACGUUUGCAUCUAAACCAUCUGACAUAAUAUGUACUACAGGAUCUGAUAUUCUGUCAUACACAUCUGCCUUUAGAAAUGAACAUGUGUCUUUUAAUAAAUUACAGACUCUUAGGAAUAUUGUUACUUCAUCUGGAACUAGUGUUGUUAAUAGUCACCUUAAAGCUUUUCCAAUUUCAAGCAUAUCAAAAAAUAGUGAUAGAACUACUCCGAAAAUUGUGCAGAGGUAUAUAAAUCCUUCUUAUGUUACAGGUUCUGCCAAAAGUCCAGAAAAUGCAACUCCAUCUAAAAGAAUAAGAUUCAGUUUGCCACAAAUUUAUGAGCCUGCUGCAGAAUCUUCCACAAGACAUUUAACUCGUGCGUCUACCUUUUCUUCUCAGGCUCUGAAUCAUCUAAUAGCACCUCUCACGUUUAAUAAUAUUGUGCAUGCCAAAACUCAUCCUAAAGAAAGUUUUCCAAAUUUUGAAAUAAAUAAGCUCAAUAAUGAAAGAAAAGAAAACUCUGCCCGUAAGUCACUGUUGACUUACGUAGGUGGGUUUGAAGAGGAUCGUACAGGUUUUAUAUGUUCUUUUAAGUCAAGAUUUCCAGUUAGCAAUAAAAAUCAAUUUGUAUGCAGUUUUAGUGGUCCCUGUGAACUAGAAAAUACAAAAGUUAAUGUAACUUCACCAAGGAGAACAUUAAAUAUGUGUGAAAAUACAGAAAUUGAGAGGACAGAAGAAUGUUCAUUUGAAGUCUCUAGGACUUCCGAAAAUCAUUCAUCCUUUUCUUCGGUUCCUUCUAAAUCAUAUAAUCGUAGUUCUGUGUCAUCUGUUGUUUUAACAUCUGAAAAUAAAACGCACUCAGAGCAACUUGAUUUUGCAUCUUUUGAAUGCGGUAAAAAUCUCAGAUCUGAUGUGUAAUAUGGAGAAUCGUUCUGUGUUACUCAAUCCAGUCUGGAUUGAAUAGGACUAAAAGUUCUGCGGUCUACCAACCCAAGCGAAGGAUGAUUCUAUUCCUGAAAUUUAGCGCAGUCUGUUGAAAAUCAGAAUGAAAAACAUCCCAGACUGGAAUCUACCGCGAUUGGUUCCUAUCAUACUUUCAAUGGAUUUGAUCACUCUCUAGAGCCUUCACCACCCCACUGUUCAUUCAGCACAACAGAGAAAUCCUGUGAUGAUAAAGUCAGCAUAGCAG